AGAGUUUGAUCCUGGCUCAGGACGAACGCUGGCGGCGUGCCUAACACAUGCAAGUCACGGGGGUCCGCAAGGGCAACCGGCGAACGGGUGCGUAACACGUGAGCAAUCUGCCGAUUUCUGGGGGAUAGCCGGUCCAACGACCGGGUAAUACCGCAUACGCUCAUUGGGGGGCAUUCCCCGAUGAGGAAACCUCCGGGGGAAAUCGAGGAGCUCGCGGCCUAUCAGCUAGUUGGUGCGGUAACGGCGCACCAAGGCGACGACGGGUAGCUGGUCUGAGAGGAUGGCCAGCCACAUUGGGACUGCGACACGGCCCAGACUCCUACGGGAGGCAGCAGUGGGGAAUAUUGCGCAAUGGACGAAAGUCUGACGCAGCGACGCCGCGUGUGGGAUGAAGCUUUUCGGAGUGUAAACCACUGUUGCUCGGGACGAACAUCCCUUUUCGAGGGGACUGACGUACCGAGUGA
This 464-nucleotide ribosomal RNA is filed under the name uncultured bacterium. Its description in RNAcentral is "bacterial SSU rRNA". It matches the Rfam family "Bacterial small subunit ribosomal RNA", at positions 8 to 485 of the family's 1533-position model. The record is from RNAcentral.